GGUACACCCAGUAAAAAGUUAUUGCGAAUUUUCGAGAGUUUCCCUCGAUUUCUCUGGGAUUCCAUCAUCAGAUCCUGGUUUCCUUAUCAUGGUACUAAACUAGGGAUAUCUCCUUUCCAACAAAAAAAUAAUUAUCAAAAUCGGUACAUCCAGUAAAAAGUUAUGCGGUAUAAUACAACGUAGGUCGACGAAAAAAGCGUCAAGUAAAAACGCAUUAUUAGAUAUAACUCGAAAAGUAGUUGUUAGAUCUCAAAUAAAUUUAAAUGGGACCAAUUGGCACACACCACAUUUCGAUUAAAACAAAAUUUGUCGAAAUCGGUCUACCCGAUCAAAAGUUCUGAUGUAACAUACAUAAAA
Molecule: unclassified non-coding RNA, 357 nt
Filed under: Melitaea cinxia (Glanville fritillary)
Lineage: Eukaryota; Metazoa; Arthropoda; Insecta; Lepidoptera; Nymphalidae
Description: misc RNA ENSMCXG00005010448.1
Source: RNAcentral